GCAAGGGUGGUGAAGUGGAAUCACGACUCGGUGAAACUGAGGAAUCGGGGGUUCGAAUCCCCUCCCGUGCA
Molecule: non-coding RNA, 71 nt
Organism: Pluteus cervinus
Lineage: Eukaryota; Fungi; Basidiomycota; Agaricomycetes; Agaricales; Pluteaceae
Source: the annotation of a GenBank genome assembly